GGACGGGAGCCGGAUACGGCUUGGCCGGGCCGCUCUGCUAAAGCGGUUGCCCUUAAACGGGUAUGUGGGUUCGAAUCCCACCCCCUCCG
RNAcentral lists this transfer RNA (89 nucleotides) under Gemmata algarum. RNAcentral describes it as "tRNA-Ser". It matches the Rfam family "tRNA". From Rfam's summary of the family: Transfer RNA (tRNA) molecules are approximately 80 nucleotides in length. Their secondary structure includes four short double-helical elements and three loops (D, anti-codon, and T loops). Further hydrogen bonds mediate the characteristic L-shaped molecular structure. tRNAs have two regions of fundamental functional importance: the anti-codon, which is responsible for specific mRNA codon recognition, and the 3' end, to which the tRNAs corresponding amino acid is attached (by aminoacyl-tRNA synthetases). tRNAs cope with the degeneracy of the genetic code in two manners: having more than one tRNA (with a specific anti-codon) for a particular amino acid; and 'wobble' base-pairing, i.e. permitting non-standard base-pairing at the 3rd anti-codon position. Lineage: Bacteria; Pseudomonadati; Planctomycetota; Planctomycetia; Gemmatales; Gemmataceae. The record is from RNAcentral.